AGGUAUUUCUGACCACAUAAUUUGCUGACUACAAAAAACUUAAGCCUUUAAAAACGAAUCAGGCAGCUUUAUUCUAAAUUUGAAUUCAUGACGCAAGGGAAGAUCAAAUAUUUCAACAAAUAUCUCCUAUAUUUUGGCUCAUUUUAUUGACUUGUUGACCUCACCCAAACAUUACUUGUUGUAUGCUGGUUAAUUAAUCUAAUUAGGAUGUUUGUUUUCUAAAUUUUGCAACAUCUCGCUGAAACACCAAGCCUGCAAUGAUGAAAAGCUCGCUUGAAGUGUGAUUGAGAAAUCAGGUUCUCUAGACUGUUCUUUAGUAGAGUAAAAUACAUGCAUCAGUGAAAUCAACUCUCAGUCGAGUAAAGAAUACUAAAGAUACCCUGCAUCAUGGAAUAGUAAUACGGCUGAUUUUGAUAAUGAUAAUGAGUGCCACGUUAGUCAAGUGUUGUGUAAAACCAAACUACAACAAAAAAUUAUUUAACAAAAAUGCUAUUCAAAGUAUCGUUGGUUUUGUGCCUUGUUCAUGUCGUGCUUGGCCGGGUAUCACAGUCAGGAUACUGGAAAAAAAUCGCCUCUGAUCAAUGUGUUGGGGCCAGGAACAACAACUAUAGAGAGUUUGGGUACUAUGGGUCAAACACUUUCAUUACUGCAAUGAAAUUAGUGCACAAGAAAGGCAGAGUUGGGUGCUCUCGCAGACGUUAUGCCCGCUGGGGUUGCGAUAGAAGAAAUCCCACAAGUAUUAUCGUCACAGGUAACAACUUCAUACUCCUUAGGCAUCUGAUAUAUUGAUGUUCGUAAAGGUCAGAUGUUCUUAAUACAGUGGCGAAUCCAGGGUAAGGCGAAAUAUAUCACCACAGCUAUAAGUUGCAACACAAGUAAAAUUAAACUAAUGUCAGUAUUAUGUUAAACUGAUAACUGUCACGGAAGAAGCUGUGGGGAAGCUGUUCCUUUUCCUGCUGCAAAGUACUGUAUACUCACAUACUGUCAAUAAAGAACACGAUGAAAGUAAAUUCUUUGAUGAAAUUGAAUGUCGAUCUUUAGAUACAAGAAAUAGACGCAUGUACCCCCAUCCGUCUUUGGUUCGCCUGCAAAAAGCUGGAAAAUAUGAUCUCCCUGGCUACGGAUUGUAUUCUCGACAGCUCGUCUUCUCUGAUCCAGGAUUUCACUAUUUGUAUUACGGCCAAAGAAUGAGGAUUUGGUACGGAGAAGACUUGUUCAACUACACAGAAAAGGACAACCACGGUUUUACAUGCAUGGAUGUUUAUGUUUUUAUUCCAACGUGGUCUUGA
Dendronephthya gigantea is the source of this 1289-nucleotide long non-coding RNA. RefSeq lists it as uncharacterized. The record is from RefSeq and is a predicted model, not a curated record. The transcript is spliced from 3 exons. NCBI's taxonomy places the organism in Eukaryota, Metazoa, Cnidaria, Anthozoa, Malacalcyonacea, Nephtheidae.